ACGGGCCAGCAUCGGUUUCGGGCGGCAGACAAAGGCGAGGGGAAGGUGGCAGCUCCGGCUGUGUUAUAGCCCCUCGUUGUAUGUGCCCUCUGGGACCGAGGAAUCCGGCGCUUGCGCCUGGGAUGCUGGCGUAAUGGCUUUAAACGA
This 147-nucleotide ribosomal RNA is filed under the name Trechisporales sp. RNAcentral's name for it is "partial large subunit ribosomal RNA". Lineage: Eukaryota; Fungi; Basidiomycota; Agaricomycetes; Trechisporales. The record is from RNAcentral.